UACGUAGGUGGCAAGCGUUGUCCGGAUUUAUUGGGUUUAAAGGGUGCGUAGGUGGUGGGGUAAGUCGGAUGUGAAAUCCCGGGGCUCAACCCCGGAACUGCAUUCGAUACUGCCUUGCUCGAGUACUGGAGAGGAGACUGGAAUUUACGGUGUAGCAGUGAAAUGCGUAGAUAUCGUAAGGAAGACCAGUGGCGAAGGCGAGUCUCUGGACAGUUACUGACACUGAGGCACGAAGGCCAGGGGAGCAAACGGG
RNAcentral lists this ribosomal RNA (253 nucleotides) under uncultured bacterium. RNAcentral describes it as "partial 16S ribosomal RNA". It matches the Rfam family "Bacterial small subunit ribosomal RNA", at positions 524 to 776 of the family's 1533-position model. The record is from RNAcentral.